This 922-nucleotide ribosomal RNA is filed under the name uncultured fungus. Its description in RNAcentral is "eukaryotic LSU rRNA". The stretch from base 548 to 922 matches the Rfam family "Eukaryotic large subunit ribosomal RNA", at positions 1 to 372 of the family's 3401-position model. Lineage: Eukaryota; Fungi. The record is from RNAcentral.
GGCACUUUUAAAAUCCAUACCCACCUUGUGUGCAUCGUUAGUCAUGUUCCUUGUUCUCUCUUGAGAGGACGAGGAGGCAGGCUUCAAAUUAAUCUAUCUUUAACCAGUUUGUCUGAAGCAAUGUAUCAUGAGUUAACAUAAUUCUAAAAUACAACUUUCAACAACGGAUCUCUUGGCUCUCGCAUCGAUGAAGAACGCAGCGAAAUGCGAUACGUAAUGUGAAUUGCAGAAUUCAGUGAAUCAUCGAGUCUUUGAACGCACAUUGCGCUCUCUGGUAUUCCGGAGAGCAUGCUUGUUUGAGUAUCAGUAAAACACCCUCAGCCUUUUCUUUAUUGAAAAAGCUGGACUUGAGUGAUCCCAACGGUUUUUUUUAAAAGGCUGGCGGGUUGCUUGAAAUGCAGGUGCGGCUGGACACAUCUUCUGAGCUAUAAGCAUUACCUAUUUAGUCCCGUCAAACGGAUUAUUUCUAUUGCUACAGCUAAUAUAAAGGUCGAUUGUCCUUGUGCCCGACUGAUGCAGGAAAACAUGGAGAAAUCCUUGUUCAACUCGAUCUCAAAUCAAGUAAGACUACCCGCUGAACUUAAGCAUAUCAAUAAGCGGAGGAAAAGAAACCAACAGGGAUUGCCUCAGUAACGGCGAGUGAAGCGGCAAAAGCUCAAAUUUGAAAUCUGGCUCUUUUAGGGUCCGAGUUGUAAUUUGUAGAAGAUGUUUCGGGUGUGGCUCCGGUUUAAGUUCUUUGGAAUAUUACAUCAUAGAGGGUGAGAAUCCCGUAUGUGACCGGCAGCCUUCGCCUAUGUGAAACUCUUUCGACGAGUCGAGUUGUUUGGGAAUGCAGCUCAAAAUGGGAGGUAUAUUUCUUCUAAAGCUAAAUAUUGGCCAGAGACCGAUAGCGCACAAGUAGAGUGAUCGAAAGAUGGAAAGC